This 71-nucleotide transfer RNA is filed under the name Marmota monax (woodchuck). It matches the Rfam family "tRNA". From Rfam's summary of the family: Transfer RNA (tRNA) molecules are approximately 80 nucleotides in length. Their secondary structure includes four short double-helical elements and three loops (D, anti-codon, and T loops). Lineage: Eukaryota; Metazoa; Chordata; Mammalia; Rodentia; Sciuridae. The record is from Rfam by way of RNAcentral.
GAGGAUAUAACUCAGUUGGUAGAGUGCUUGCCUUGCAUGCACAAGGCCCUGGGUUCAAUCCCCAGCACUCG